RNAcentral lists this ribosomal RNA (680 nucleotides) under uncultured Bacteroidota bacterium. RNAcentral describes it as "bacterial SSU rRNA". It matches the Rfam family "Bacterial small subunit ribosomal RNA", at positions 810 to 1504 of the family's 1533-position model. Lineage: Bacteria; Pseudomonadati; Bacteroidota. The record is from RNAcentral.
UGAUCACUCGUUGUUGGGUAGCAAUACUCAGUGGCCAAGCGAAAGCGAUAAGUGAUCCACCUGGGGAGUACGAUCGCAAGGUUGAAACUCAAAGGAAUUGACGGGGGCCCGCACAAGCGGAGGAGCAUGUGGUUUAAUUCGAUGAUACGCGAGGAACCUUACCCGGGCUUGAAUUGCAGUGGAAUGAUUUGGAAACAUCUCAGUCUUCGGACCACUGUGAAGGUGCUGCAUGGUUGUCGUCAGCUCGUGCCGUGAGGUGUUAGGUUAAGUCCUGCAACGAGCGCAACCCUUACACUUAGUUGCCAGCACGUAGCGGUGGGAACUCUAUGUGAACUGCCUACGCAAGUAGAGAGGAAGGUGGGGAUGACGUCAAAUCAGCACGGCCCUUAUGUUCGGGGCUACACACGUGCUACAAUGGUCGAAACAGAGGGUCGCUACUACGCAAGUAGAUGCAAAUCUCAAAAAUCGAUCUCAGUUCGGAUCGGAGUCUGUAACUCGACUCCGUGAAGUUGGAUUCGCUAGUAAUCGCACAUCAGCCAUGGUGCGGUGAAUACGUUCCCGGGCCUUGUACACACCGCCCGUCAAGCCAUGGAAGUUGGGGGUACCUAAAGAAUGUAACCGAAAGGAGCGUUCUAGGGUAAACUUGAUAACUGGGGCUAAGUCGUAACAAGGUAACCGUA